CAGUAGCCGCGGUAAUACGAAGGGUGCAAGCGUUAAUCGGAAUUACUGGGCGUAAAGCGUGCGUAGGCGGUUUGUCAAGUCUGUUGUGAAAUCCCCGGGCUCAACCUGGGAAUGGCAAUGGAUACUGGCAAGCUAGAGUGUGUCAGAGGAUGGUGGAAUUCCCGGUGUAGCGGUGAAAUGCGUAGAGAUCGGGAGGAACAUCAGUGGCGAAGGCGGCCAUCUGGGACAACACUGACGCUGAGGCACGAAAGCGUGGGGAGCAAACAGGAUUAGAUACCCGUGUAGUCCCUGUCUCUUAUAA
This 301-nucleotide ribosomal RNA is filed under the name uncultured bacterium. RNAcentral describes it as "partial 16S ribosomal RNA". It matches the Rfam family "Bacterial small subunit ribosomal RNA", at positions 509 to 809 of the family's 1533-position model. The record is from RNAcentral.